CAGAGAAUAGUUUAUUAAAAUUUUAAUUUUGGAGAUUAAAGAUAAGAAGUUAUUCUUUUCUCUGA
This 65-nucleotide transfer RNA is filed under the name Deporaus marginatus. Its description in RNAcentral is "tRNA-Pro". The record is from RNAcentral. Lineage: Eukaryota; Metazoa; Arthropoda; Insecta; Coleoptera; Attelabidae.